This 96-nucleotide ribosomal RNA is filed under the name Pteropus alecto (black flying fox). Lineage: Eukaryota; Metazoa; Chordata; Mammalia; Chiroptera; Pteropodidae. The record is from RNAcentral.
GUUUACAGCCAUGCCACCCUGAACAAGCUAAGCAGGGUCGGGCCUGGUUAGUACUUGGAUGAGAGACCACCUAGGAAGAACAAGUGCUUAUAGGCG